UGCAAGUCGAGCGGACAGAAGGGAGCUUGCUCCCGGAUGUUAGCGGCGGACGGGUGAGUAACACGUGGGUAACCUGCCUGUAAGACUGGGAUAACUCCGGGAAACCGGAGCUAAUACCGGAUAGUUCCUUGAACCGCAUGGUUCAAGGAUGAAAGACGGUUUCGGCUGUCACUUACAGAUGGACCCGCGGCGCAUUAGCUAGUUGGUGAGGUAACGGCUCACCAAGGCGACGAUGCGUAGCCGACCUGAGAGGGUGAUCGGCCACACUGGGACUGAGACACGGCCCAGACUCCUACGGGAGGCAGCAGUAGGGAAUCUUCCGCAAUGGACGAAAGUCUGACGGAGCAACGCCGCGUGAGUGAUGAAGGUUUUCGGAUCGUAAAGCUCUGUUGUUAGGGAAGAACAAGUGCAAGAGUAACUGCUUGCACCUUGACGGUACCUAACCAGAAAGCCACGGCUAACUACGUGCCAGCAGCCGCGGUAAUACGUAGGUGGCAAGCGUUGUCCGGAAUUAUUGGGCGUAAAGGGCUCGCAGGCGGUUUCUUAAGUCUGAUGUGAAAGCCCCCGGCUCAACCGGGGAGGGUCAUUGGAAACUGGGAAACUUGAGUGCAGAAGAGGAGAGUGGAAUUCCACGUGUAGCGGUGAAAUGCGUAGAGAUGUGGAGGAACACCAGUGGCGAAGGCGACUCUCUGGUCUGUAACUGACGCUGAGGAGCGAAAGCGUGGGGAGCGAACAGGAUUAGAUACCCUGGUAGUCCACGCCGUAAACGAUGAGUGCUAAGUGUUAGGGGGUUUCCGCCCCUUAGUGCUGCAGCUAACGCAUUAAGCACUCCGCCUGGGGAGUACGGUCGCAAGACUGAAACUCAAAGGAAUUGACGGGGGCCCGCACAAG
RNAcentral lists this ribosomal RNA (891 nucleotides) under Bacillus pumilus. RNAcentral's name for it is "bacterial SSU rRNA". It matches the Rfam family "Bacterial small subunit ribosomal RNA", at positions 56 to 929 of the family's 1533-position model. Lineage: Bacteria; Bacillati; Bacillota; Bacilli; Caryophanales; Bacillaceae. The record is from RNAcentral.